GACGAACGCUGGCGGCGUGCCUAAUACAUGCAAGUUGAACGCUAAAGCUUUAACUGGUGCUUGCACCGACCUAAGUUUUUAGAGUAGCGGACGGGUGAGUAACACGUGGGGAAUCUGCCUUUGAGCGGGGGACAACAUUUGGAAACGAAUGCUAAUACCGCAUAAAAACUUUAAACACAAGUUUUAAGUUUGAAAGAUGCAAUUGCAUCACUCAAAGAUGAUCCCGCGUUGUAUUAGCUAGUUGGUGAGGUAAAGGCUCACCAAGGCGAUGAUACAUAGCCGACCUGAGAGGGUGAUCGGCCACAUUGGGACUGAGACACGGCCCAAACUCCUACGGGAGGCAGCAGUAGGGAAUCUUCGGCAAUGGACGAAAGUCUGACCGAGCAACGCCGCGUGAGUGAAGAAGGUUUUCGGAUCGUAAAACUCUGUUGGUAGAGAAGAACGUUGGUGAGAGUGGAAAGCUCAUCAAGUGACGGUAACUACCCAGAAAGGGACGGCUAACUACGUGCCAGCCGCCGCCGUAAAAC
This 527-nucleotide ribosomal RNA is filed under the name uncultured bacterium. Its description in RNAcentral is "bacterial SSU rRNA". It matches the Rfam family "Bacterial small subunit ribosomal RNA", at positions 28 to 526 of the family's 1533-position model. The record is from RNAcentral.